GCCAGCAGCCGCGGUAACACCGGCGGCCCGAGUGGUGAUCGUGAUUAUUGGGUCUAAAGGGUCCGUAGCCGGUUUGGUCAGUCCUCCGGGAAAUCUGAUAGCUCAACUAUUAGGCUUUCGGGGGAUACUGCCAGACUUGGAACCGGGAGAGGUAAGAGGUACUACAGGGGUAGGAGUGAAAUCUUGUAAUCCCUGUGGGACCACCUGUGGCGAAGGCGUCUUACCAGAACGGGUUCGACGGUGAGGGACGAAAGCUGGGGGCACGAACCGGAUUAGAUACCCGGGUAGUCCCAGCCGUAAACGAUGCUCGCUAGGUGUCAGGCAUGGCGCGACCGUGUCUGGUGCCGCAGGGAAGCCGUGAAGCGAGCCACCUGGGAAGUACGGCCGCAAGGCUGAAACUUAAAGGAAUUGGCGGGGGAGCACAACAACGGGUGGAGCCCUGCGGUUUAAUUGGACUCAACGCCGGACAACUCACCGGGGGCGACAGCAAUAUGUAGGCCAAGCUGAAGACUUUGCCUGAAUCGCUGAGAAGUGGUGCAUGG
This 542-nucleotide ribosomal RNA is filed under the name uncultured archaeon. Its description in RNAcentral is "bacterial SSU rRNA". It matches the Rfam family "Archaeal small subunit ribosomal RNA", at positions 457 to 997 of the family's 1478-position model. The record is from RNAcentral.